RNAcentral lists this long non-coding RNA (422 nucleotides) under Homo sapiens (human). Its description in RNAcentral is "non-protein coding lnc-PXDC1-15:1". The record is from RNAcentral. Lineage: Eukaryota; Metazoa; Chordata; Mammalia; Primates; Hominidae.
UCUGUGAACGUCAACUAAUAACUACAGUCAUUUUCACUGGGAUGCUGGCCUCGGCUAGUGGGACUGCUGCCAUUAUUUUGUAUUGCUGUAACAGUCACCGGUCACACUGACUUUGUCUCUGAACACAACCCUGGGCUUGUUUGUGAUUAACAGUGUCAAUCUGCAGGAGAAAGAUCCUUGGUCUCUGAACUUCAUGAGAGGAGUUAAAAAAAAAAAAUUGCAGACUGAGGUACCCAGUAUAAACCAUGAGGAGAAUCCUGUGGAAGUCUUUUCACCACCUUUUGGACGCAAGGAGUGCGCUUACUCAUGACAGUGGAGUGAGGCUAGCCAAGGUCAGAACUGCAGAGAUGGCAGGUGUGUAUGUGCUGGGUGAGGCCAGCUUGUUGAAUGUUGCCAUGGCCCGUCCUCCUCAUUCGCCUCUG